Molecule: ribosomal RNA, 465 nt
Filed under: uncultured bacterium
Lineage: Bacteria
Description: partial 16S ribosomal RNA
Rfam family: Bacterial small subunit ribosomal RNA
Source: RNAcentral
GACGAACGCUGGCGGCGUGCUUAACACAUGCAAGUCGAACGGAAAGGCCCCUUUGGGGGUACUCGAGUGGCGAACGGGUGAGUAACACGUGAGUAACCUGCCCUUGACUUCGGGAUAACUUCAGGAAACUGGGUCUAAUACCGGAUAGGAAUCCUUGCUGCAUGGUGGGGGUUGGAAAGCUUCGGCGGUUUUGGAUGGGCUCGCGGCUUAUCAGCUUGUUGGUGGGGUAGUGGCUUACCAAGGCUUUGACGGGUAGCCGGCCUGAGAGGGCGACCGGCCACAUUGGGACUGAGAUACGGCCCAGACUCCUACGGGAGGCAGCAGUGGGGAAUAUUGCACAAUGGGCGGAAGCCUGAUGCAGCAACGCCGCGUGCGGGAUGACGGCCUUCGGGUUGUAAACCGCUUUCAGCAGGGGCGAAGCUUGUGGUGACGGUACCUGCAGAAGAAGCACCGGCUAACUACGUG